AGGGGGAUAACACUUGGAAACAGGUGCUAAUACCGCAUAACCAUAGUUACCGCAUGGUAACUAUGUAAAAGGUGGCUAUGCUACCGCUUUUGGAUGGGCCCGCGGCGCAUUAGCUAGUUGGUGGGGUAAAGGCUUACCAAGGCAAUGAUGCGUAGCCGAACUGAGAGGUUGAUCGGCCACAUUGGGACUGAGACACGGCCCAAACUCCUACGGGAGGCAGCAGUAGGGAAUCUUCCACAAUGGGCGAAAGCCUGAUGGAGCGACGCCGCGUGGGUGAAGAAGGUCUUCGGAUCGUAAAACCCUGUUGUUAGAGAAGAAAGUGCGUGAGAGUAACUGUUCACGUUUCGACGGUAUCUAACCAGAAAGCCACGGCUAACUACGUGCCAGCAGCCGCGGUAAUACGUAGGUGGCAAGCGUUAUCCGGACUUAUUGGGCGNNAAGGGAACGCAGGCGGUCUUUUAAGUCUGAUGUGAAAGCCUUCGGCUUAACCGAAGUAGUGCAUUGGAAACUGGGAGACUUGAGUGCAGAAGAGGAGAGUGGAACUCCAUGUGUAGCGGUGAAAUGCGUAGAUAUAUGGAAGAACACCAGUGGCGAAAGCGGCUCUCUGGUCUGUAACUGACGCUGAGGUUCGAAAGC
RNAcentral lists this ribosomal RNA (636 nucleotides) under uncultured bacterium. Its description in RNAcentral is "bacterial SSU rRNA". It matches the Rfam family "Bacterial small subunit ribosomal RNA", at positions 137 to 760 of the family's 1533-position model. The record is from RNAcentral.